AAGUGUAGAGUAGACUAGUUCUUGCACAUUAUGACUAUGCUAAUGGCAUGCCAUGGAAUGCAACUUUUUCUCUGAGUGAUACAGGCCUAGUUUGGAUUUGAUCCCUCACAUUAUACACGCCAUCAUUUAGCACUAACAUAAUCAUGUCUCUUCAUAAACCAGGACCAUCUUGGCCCUUAGUGUGUAUCGGGUUACACAUUUGUGAACCCGCAAAAGAGGAGUACUACGACCAGCAUGAGUAGGAUCGAUAGGUUAAACAACAGUAGGCCUACCGCUGUACAUCAUACAUGUACAUGUCAUAGGCUGCUGAAGUUAUAAUGCUCGCACUCAAACUGAGUAAGCCAGGCAAACUUCAAGCUAAACUGUUCACAUUCAUUGACACUAAGGCUGAAAGGACUGCUGUAUAAUGUCCUUACACUUGAAAACCUCGUGUAGUUGUACUGCUCCAGGAUCACUCUUCUCCUGCCCAUCAUUCUCUACGUUGGGCUUGAAUCGUUUUGCCCCUGGUGGACAAGAUGGCAUUGAAUCUGCACAGUCGUUUGUGUUUAUCUUUGCAUCAUCGGGGGAGGGGGGGUUCGGAUAACUGGCCUGUUUGCCAACUCGACUUUGGACAACUCGACCGUUGAGACAGCUCGACCGUCCGUGCGUAAAAAGGAGAGACAAGUCGAAUGUUGAGACAUUGUCCACUCAGCCCAGUCGUCUGCUGGGUGUGGAAUACUAUGCGGUGCCCUUGAUUAUAAUGGAAGGGAAUUUCACGUAGUUGACAAGCUCAUCACUUCUCAUAUCUGAGGUAGCCUAGGCCUAGUACAGUACUAGUAGGGCCUAGUCAUACUAACAAAUCUUUGUGCAAAUUGCAAUCAAUCGAUCUUGCACCCGCACGGACCUAGCCACGUAUAUGUGAUUACAGUCGUUUUUCUCGUCCGGAUUUUUCGUAGCAGAUCGCCGUGGUUUGGCUUCAUACGUGUGAUUGCAUAUAACAUGUACAGCUCAAAACAGUUACCUCCGUCGUCUUUGUGUUUGUAACCAAAUUUAAGCGCCGCGCUAUAUAAAUAAUACAAUCUUAGUUUCUUGCAGGUUUUUCCCCGAUGAGAAUGUCUGAGCCCUGUCGCAGGAGGGCGCUCUUCACUUCCACCACGUUGUUAUCGCAUUUCUUACUUGUGCAAAAGCCUGAAGGCUUGACAUGUACUUUUGCCAGUAUAAUUCGAUAACUAUUCAACCCAAGGACCCGGGGAUACAGUGUUUCAGCAAAGAGAUUUGGCAAGGAUGCGUGAGGAAAGUCAAGGAAAGGUCAAAGAGCGGCAUGUUGGAGGACUCAACUAUACUAGGGCCAGUCUAGCGAACUAUGGGUACCUCCGUAUCCUUGGCCCUACUCUUAAACUGGAAACAAGUGGAGGAAGGCUUAAACAUUGGGAAAAAGCUCCCCAGCCAUGAACGUGAUUUGCUCAAGAUCUUUACUGGUGAUGAACACAUUACAACUCCAGGCGCCAGCAGUUGUGGAGAUGUCAGAGAAUGUUAAUUAAAGCACACCACAUUUUUGAAACUACAUGCGCUCAGAGUCAGUUCAACGUACAGGCAGACAUUGAUGCUGGACUCUGCCUGCGCACAUAACGUGCAGCUGUGUAAUGAACAUGCAUCUCAUUCAGGGCACUUGUUGGCAAGUGGAUAGAAGCAGAGACGGUAGUGAGAGUGGAAGGAACAUGUGCUGUCUGUCCUGGAGUGACUCAACCGUGGCAGGAAGAAUAUCCAUUGUGUUUCCUUGUCCAGAAACUGAUGCAGUUGACCUGAGAACAAGGCUGUGCAGGAACCACCCCAGGGGCUGCAGAGUCUGCCGUGCACAGAAUACUGCAUGACUAGGAUCUGUCGACAUCGGUACAGUGAGUACAAGAUGUCCCAUAGGUCUACCUUGAUGGAGCCAAUCCAAUUCACCUCUUCAACGACCGCCCUUCCCUUUUGUGACUACCAGGAUAUUAACCUCUGUGACAUCAAGGAGCUCCAUCCAAGUCAGUUCAAGUCAAGCCCCA
Acanthaster planci (crown-of-thorns starfish) is the source of this 2021-nucleotide long non-coding RNA. Lineage: Eukaryota; Metazoa; Echinodermata; Asteroidea; Valvatida; Acanthasteridae. The record is from RefSeq and is a predicted model, not a curated record.